Molecule: RNA transcript, 4411 nt
Organism: Homo sapiens (human)
Lineage: Eukaryota; Metazoa; Chordata; Mammalia; Primates; Hominidae
Gene name: HECT and RLD domain containing E3 ubiquitin protein ligase 2 pseudogene
Exons: 25
Source: RefSeq, marked validated
GGGUAGCGAGAGGCGUCGGGAUCGCGGGCGCCGGCUGAGCCAGCGGCUGCUGGGAGGCUGUGUGCGCACGCCUGCGGGGCGAGGAGGCCGGGCCCUGCGCCUCAGGCCUGAGAACUGGGAGGAAGCUGGAGAAAAGAUGCCCUCUGAAUAUUUGUGUUUGGCUGCCCAGGCUCGCCUUGACUCCAAAUGGUUGAAAACAGAUAUACAGAUGGAGUCUUGCUCUGUUGCCCAGGCUAGAGUGCAGUGGUGCCAUCUCGGCUUACCGCAAGCUCCGCCUCCCGGGUUCACGCCAUUGUCCUGCCUCAGCGUCCCGAGUACCUGGAACUAUAGGUGUCCACCAUCAUACCUGGCCAAUUUUUUGUAUUUUCAGUAGAGACGGGGUUUCACUGUGUCAGCCAAGAUGGUCUCCAUCUUCUGACCUCGUGAUCCACCGGCCUUGGCCUCUUAGAGUGCUGGGAUUACAGGCAUAAGCCACCACUCCCGGCCGAUAUAUUGGUUUGUUUAUGAAAAUUAUACUGGAUCUGUUACAGAUGAUAGUGUCAAACCAAGUGGAACAAAGAAAGAAGAUCUGGAUGACAAAGAGAAAAAAGAUGAAACUCCUGCACCUGUAUAUAGGGCCAAGUCAAUUCUGGAGAGCUGGGUAUGGGAGUAAGCAACCAGGGAUGUUCACGGAACGCCAGACACCAAAAGGCCAGAAGCAUGCCCCUGCAGGACCAGCACUUGGCUCUGGCCAUCCUGCUGGAGCUGGCUGUGCAGAGAGGCACGCUGAGCCAAAUGUUGUCUGCCAUCCUGUUGUUGCUUCAGCUGUGGGACAGCAGGGCACAGGAAACUGACAAUGAGCGUUCUGCCCAGGGCACCAGCACCUUGCUUUUGUCCUUGCUGCAAACGUUCCAGAGCAUCAUUUGCAGUAAGGAUACGCCCCCCUCCGAGGGCAACAUGCACCUUUUGUCUGGCCCUCUGAGCCCCAGUGAGAGUUUCCUGAGGUACCUCACCCUCCACAAGACAACGAGCUUGCCAUUGAUCUGCAACAAACGGCGGUUGUUGUCAUGGCCCAUUUAGAAGAUCUGGCUACACCCUGUAGAUGCCUCUGCCGUGUAGCUGUCCGACGUCUCAUAAGAGAGUCAUUUUUUACAGUUCAGAACUGUAGAAAUAAUGAGGAAGUGACACUUAUAUGCAAAGCUGAUUUGGAGAACCAUAAUAAAGAUGGAGGCUUCUGGAUUGUGAUUGAUGAGAAAGUGUAUGAUAUAAAGGACUUCCAGACACAGUCGUUAACAGGAAAUAGUAUUCUUGCUCAGUUUGCAGGGGAAAACCCAGUGGUAGCUUUGGAAGCUGCUUUCGAGUUUGAAGUCACCCGGGAAUCCAUGCACGCAUUUUGUGUUGGCCAAUAUUUGGAGCCUGACCAAGAAGUUGUCACCAUACCAGAUCCGGGAAGUCUCUCUUCACCUCUGAUAGACACAGAGAGGAAUCUGGGCCUGCUUCUCGGAUUACACACUUCCUAUUUAGCAAUGAGCACACCGCUGUCUCCUGUCGAGAUUGAAUGUGCCAAAUGGCUUCAGUCAUCCAUCUUCUCUGGAGGCUGCAGACCAGCCAGAUCCACUACAGCUACAACGAGGAGAAAGAUGAGGACCACUGCAGCUCCCAGUGGGCACACCUGCCAGCAAAUCGCGACUGCUCCCACAGAUGGGCCCUGGGGGACCAUUCUCAGGCAUUUCUGCAAGCCAUUGCAGACAAUAACAUUCAGGAUCACAACGUGAAGGGCUUUUUGUGUCAAAUAGAAAGGUACUGUAGGCAGUGCCAUUUGACCACACCGAUCAUGUUUCCCCCCGAGCACCCCGUGGAAGAGGUCGGUCGCUUGCUGUUAUGUUGCUUCUUAAAACAUGAAGAUUUAGGUCAUGUGGCAUUAUCUUUAGUUCAUGCAGGUGCACUUGAUAUUGAGCAAAUAAAGCACAGAACGUUGCCUAAGUCAGUGGUGGAUGUUUGUAGAGUUGUCUACCAAGCAAAAUGUUCGCUCAUUAAGACUCAUCAAGAACAGGGCCGUUCUUACAAGGAGGUCUGCACUCCUGUCAUCGAACGUUUGAGAUUCCUCUCUAAUGAAUUGAGACCUGCUGUUGGUAAUGACCUCUCUAUAAUCUCUGAGUUUAAAUUGUUAAGUUCUUUGCCCCGUUGGAGGAGGAUAGCUCAGAAGAUAAUUCGGGAACGGAGGAAAAAGAGAAUUCCUAAGAAGCCAGAAUCUACGGCUGAUGAAGAAAAAAUUGGAAACGAAGAGAGUGAUUUAGAAGAAGCCUGCAUUUUGCCUCAUAGUCCAAUAAAUGUGGACAAGAGACCCAUUGCAAUUAAAUCACCCAAGGACAAAUGGCAGCCACUGUUGAGUACUGUUACAGGGGUUCACAGAUACAAGUGGUUGAAGCAGAAUGUUCAGGAUCUUUAUCCGCAGUCUCCACUCCUCAGUACAAUUGCUGAAUUUGCCCUUAAGGAAGAGCCAGUGGAUGUGGAAAAAAUGAGAUAGUGCCUACUAAAACAGAUAACAUUUGAUGAGAAAUGCUUCUCUGCAGUGGGUAAUAUACAUAACACUUAACUGUAUAUGCAUUGAUAUUUUGCAGUUGGAGAGAGCAGAGGUUCGCCUGGAAGGGAUAGAUACAAUUUUGAAAUUGUAUCUGGUGAGCAAGAAUUUCUUACUUCCAUCUGUGCAGUAAGCGAUGUUUUGUGGAUGGCAAAGACUUAUUCCUGAAGGAAUCGAUAUAGGGGAACCUCUUACUGAUUGUUUAAAGGAUGUUGAUUUGAUCCCACCUUUUAAUCGGAUGCUGCUGGAAGUCACCUUUGGCAAGCUGUAUGCUUGGACUGUUCAGAACAUUCUAAAUGUUCUGAUGGAUGCCAGUGCCAAAUUUAAAGAGCUUGGUAUCCAGCCGGUUCCCCUGCAGACCAUCACCAGUGAGAACCCAUUGGGACCGAGCCUGGGGAGCAUCCCGCAAGCCCGCUUCCUCCUGAUGAUGCUCAGCAUGCUCACCCUGCAGCACAGCGCAAACAACCUCGACCUCCUGCUCAAUUCCGGCACGCUGGCCCUCACUCAGACGGCACUGCGCCUGAUUGGCCCCAGUUGUGACAAUGUUGAGGAAGAUAUGAAUGCUUCUGCUCAAGGUGUUUCUGCCACAGUUUUGGAAGCAACAAGGAAGGAAACGGCUCCUGUGCAUCUCCCUGUUUCAGGGCCAGAACUGGCUGCCACGAUGAAGAUUGGAACGAGGGUCAUGAGAGGUGUGGACUGGAAAUGGGGCGAUCAGGAUGGGCCUCCUCCAGGCCUAGGCCGAGUGAUUGGUGAGCUGGGAGAGGACGGGUGGAUAAGAGUCCAGUGGGGCACGGGCAGCACCAACUCCUACAGGAUGGGGAAAGAAGGAAAAUACGACCUCAAGCUGGCAGAGCUGCCGGCCGCUGCACAGCCCUCAGCAGAGGAUUCGGACACAGAGGACGACUCUGAAGCUGAACAAACUGAAAGGAACAUUCACCCCACUACAAUGAUGUUUACCAGCACUAUUAACUUACUGCAGACUCUUUGUCUGCCUGCCAGAGUUCAUGCUGAGAUCAUGCAGAGCGAAGCCACCAAGACUUUAUGCGGACUGCUGCAAAUAUUAGUGGAAAGCGGAACGACGGACAAGACACCUUCUCCAAACAGGCUGGUGUACAGGGAGCAACACCGGAGCUGGUGCAUGCUGGGGUUUGUGCGGAGCAUCGCUCUCACGCCGCAGGUGUGCGGCGCCCUCAGCUCCCCGCAGUGGAUCACGCUGCUCAUGAAGGUCAUGAAAGGGCACGCACCCUUCCCUGCCGCCUCGCUGCAGAGGCAGAUCUUAGCUGUGCAUUUGUUGCAAGCAGUCCUUCGGUCAUGGGACAAGACCAAAAGGGCGAGGGACAUGAAAUGCCUGGUGGAGAAGCUGUUUGACUUCUUGGGGAGCUUGCUCACUACCUGCUCCUCUGACGUGCCAUUACUCAGAGAGUCCAUGCCGAGGUGGCGCAGGGUGCGCCCGCAGGCCUUGCUGACUGCCACCCAUAGCAGCACACUGGUGGAGGUGGUGGUGGCACUGCUGUGCACGCUGCACUCCCUGACUCAGUGGAAUGGGCUCAUCAACAAGUACAUCAACUCCCAGCUCCGCUCCAUCACCCACAGCUUUGCGGGAAGGCCUUCUGAAGGGGCCCAGUUAGAGGACUACUUCCCCGACUCCGAGAACCCUGAAGUGGGGGGCCUCAUGGCGGUCCUGGCUGUGAUUGGAGGCAUCGAUGGUCGCCUGUGCCUGGGCGGCCAAAUUGUGCACGAUGAGUUUGGAGAAGGCACUGUGACUGGCAUCACCCCGAAGGGCAAAAUCACCGUGCAGUUCUCUGACAUGCGGACGUGUCACAUUUGCCCAUUGAAUCAGCUGAAACCAGU